RNAcentral lists this long non-coding RNA (1347 nucleotides) under Pandoravirus neocaledonia. RNAcentral describes it as "hypothetical ncRNA". The record is from RNAcentral.
CGGCACUAUCAAAGGCAAGUCGUAUGGCGUCGCGUGCAUCCAACGCGCCAAGCAAGACAUUGACCAUGUCGUCCCGACGCGUCGUCAAGGCCAAGGUCAGGGCCGACACAUGCGCGACACGCACGGGGCACCAGAUGACCGACGCAGAGAUUGGAAAACUGUGUUUGCACAGCCAACGCACGCAGUCCACAUGGCCGUUUUUCACGGCAUGCGCCGCCGCAUCGUAGGCGACGCUGCAGACGUGCGGCCAACGCAACAAGAGGUACUUUAAGAGCGCGAGAUGUCCGCCCCGAGCGGCGCCGCGCACAAGAGCCACUCGCUCGCGCGGAACAUAGUAUUCUCUGUCGGCGUUUCUAUCGAUAAGACGGCACAUGGUUUCGACCAGUGCGCGUCGACCGGCAAGCGCGCACGCCUCUGCGACGUGGACAUGUGCAGCGGACGCGGACGACGGGUGGUGCCCUUCCAAAGCCGCAGGGUUGGAUACGACAUCCACCGCAUCGUCCAGGCGCCCGUCAGCGACAAGCGCCCAGAUGGCUGCUAUGGCUCCCUCGACCAGUUUCUCGGCAUGGCGCUCCGCCUCCCGCAAAUGGCCCUGCGCACGACAGCGUCGCUCAUCGCGAUUGGCCCGUACGACGGCGUCGACCGGAACGCGCGCGUCAUCGUGAUCGCCAACCAAAACGAGCACGUAGCGCAUUAGCUGGUUGGCCAUAUCGAGCCACGGUUCGUGCUGGCACAAGGCCAAGGCAGCGCUGCGCGCUUCAGGCGUUGAAUGGUUCCACAUGUUGGACGCACGCUCAAAAGCGCUCACCGUCCUCCACGGGUCCUUUUGUUGCAACAGUUGGGCCGAUACACAGCGCAUCGUUGCCAGAGGACGCAAAAGCGCUUCCGGCCCCGUGGCCAACGCAUAAACCUCGCGCCAGUCGCCGUCAUCCAGGCCCGGCGCCGGACCGACUCGAUCGACGAUCCACGCGAUCACGUCCACAUGUUCUCGUAUGGCGGCUGCAUGCAUGCACAUGGCCCAGUCGACGGGUUCCGUGGUGGGCCGCCGGGCGAGCGCAUAUUGGAGGCCUCGCAGAUCGCCCACGGCGCACAUACCCUCGACCGUAGCGUAGGCAUAACGUCGGCGCUCCAGGUCGUGUGUGGUCAGCGCGCAAAAAGAGCGCCCGGCCAAAAGGCACGCGCCCACGUCGCGAUCGGACAGCCAGCGUAUGAUGAUCUCGCGCCUCAGUUCCACGGGCAGAGUCGACCACAUGUCGUAACUGGAACAUAGCGCUUGUUUUGCAUUGGUCGUCCUGUCUGCCAUGGGGCGAAAAAAACGAUCGGGUCUGCUUAUGGCGCGUCCUUUUG